RNAcentral lists this ribosomal RNA (1335 nucleotides) under Klebsiella pneumoniae. Its description in RNAcentral is "partial 23S ribosomal RNA". It matches the Rfam family "Bacterial large subunit ribosomal RNA", at positions 146 to 1527 of the family's 2925-position model. The record is from RNAcentral. Lineage: Bacteria; Pseudomonadati; Pseudomonadota; Gammaproteobacteria; Enterobacterales; Enterobacteriaceae. RNAcentral also lists the same sequence under 1 other name.
CACUAUCGUUAACUGAAUACAUAGGUUAACGAGGCGAACCGGGGGAACUGAAACAUCUAAGUACCCCGAGGAAAAGAAAUCAACCGAGAUUCCCCCAGUAGCGGCGAGCGAACGGGGAGCAGCCCAGAGUCUGAAUCAGCUUGUGUGUUAGUGGAACGGUCUGGAAAGUCCGACGGUACAGGGUGAUAGUCCCGUACACCAAAAUGCACAGGCUGUGAACUCGAAGAGUAGGGCGGGACACGUGGUAUCCUGUCUGAAUAUGGGGGGACCAUCCUCCAAGGCUAAAUACUCCUGACUGACCGAUAGUGAACCAGUACCGUGAGGGAAAGGCGAAAAGAACCCCGGCGAGGGGAGUGAAAAAGAACCUGAAACCGUGUACGUACAAGCAGUGGGAGCACCUUCGGGUGUGACUGCGUACCUUUUGUAUAAUGGGUCAGCGACUUAUAUUCUGUAGCAAGGUUAACCGUAUAGGGGAGCCGCAGGGAAACCGAGUCUUAACUGGGCGUUAAGUUGCAGGGUAUAGACCCGAAACCCGGUGAUCUAGCCAUGGGCAGGUUGAAGGUUGGGUAACACUAACUGGAGGACCGAACCGACUAAUGUUGAAAAAUUAGCGGAUGACUUGUGGCUGGGGGUGAAAGGCCAAUCAAACCGGGAGAUAGCUGGUUCUCCCCGAAAGCUAUUUAGGUAGCGCCUCGUGAAUUCAUCUUCGGGGGUAGAGCACUGUUUCGGCUAGGGGGUCAUCCCGACUUACCAACCCGAUGCAAACUACGAAUACCGAAGAAUGUUAUCACGGGAGACACACGGCGGGUGCUAACGUCCGUCGUGAAGAGGGAAACAACCCAGACCGCCAGCUAAGGUCCCAAAGUCAUGGUUAAGUGGGAAACGAUGUGGGAAGGCACAGACAGCCAGGAUGUUGGCUUAGAAGCAGCCAUCAUUUAAAGAAAGCGUAAUAGCUCACUGGUCGAGUCGGCCUGCGCGGAAGAUGUAACGGGGCUAAACCAUGCACCGAAGCUGCGGCAGCGACACUAUGUGUUGUUGGGUAGGGGAGCGUUCUGUAAGCCUGCGAAGGUGUGCUGUGAGGCAUGCUGGAGGUAUCAGAAGUGCGAAUGCUGACAUAAGUAACGAUAAAGCGGGUGAAAAGCCCGCUCGCCGGAAGACCAAGGGUUCCUGUCCAACGUUAAUCGGGGCAGGGUGAGUCGACCCCUAAGGCGAGGCCGAAAGGCGUAGUCGAUGGGAAACAGGUUAAUAUUCCUGUACUUGGUGUUACUGCGAAGGGGGGACGGAGAAGGCUAUGUUAGCCGGGCGACGGUUGUCCCGGUUUAAGCAUGUAGGCUG